ACCCCGGGCAUUGCCUCAGUAACGGCGAGUGAAGCGGCAAAAGCUCAAAUUUGAAAUCUGGCGGGCUUAGAUGACCGUCCGAGUUGUAAUUUGAAGAGCGGUCUUUGGAGAGGAACCUUGUCUAUGUUCCUUGGAACAGGACGUCACAGAGGGUGAGAACCCCGUGAGAUGAGGGAUACCGAUCUGUGUAAAGGCUGUUCGACGAGUCGAGUUGUUUGGGAAUGCAGCUCUAAGUGGGUGGUAAAUUCCAUCUAAAGCUAAAUAUUGGCGAGAGACCGAUAGCGAACAAGUACAGUGAUGGAAAGAUGAAAAGAACUUUGAAAAGAGAGUGAAAAAGUACGUGAAAUUGUUGAAAGGGAAGGUUAUUAGAUCAGACUUGGUGUGUGCGGAUAUUUGUUCUCUUGUAGGGCAUUCACUGCGCAUGCGCUGGGCCAGGGUGGAUUUUUCGGGGCGGGAUAAGAGCGGUGGGAAAGUGGCUUUGCCGUUAGUGGGAAAGUGUUAUAGCCUGCCGCGGAUGCCGCCACCGGGGAUCGAGGAAUGCGCGGGCCUUUGUUGGUCAGCUAGGAUCCUGGCGUAAUGAUCUAAUAUCGCCCGUCUUGAAMCMCGGACCA
RNAcentral lists this ribosomal RNA (611 nucleotides) under Komagataea salicaria. RNAcentral describes it as "LSU rRNA". It matches the Rfam family "Eukaryotic large subunit ribosomal RNA", at positions 64 to 668 of the family's 3401-position model. Lineage: Eukaryota; Fungi; Ascomycota; Saccharomycetes; Phaffomycetales; Wickerhamomycetaceae. The record is from RNAcentral.